This 296-nucleotide long non-coding RNA is filed under the name Mytilus galloprovincialis (Mediterranean mussel). The record is from RNAcentral. Lineage: Eukaryota; Metazoa; Mollusca; Bivalvia; Mytilida; Mytilidae.
CCCCUUUUAGUUGGCUCACAAUUUCCAUAAAUAAUUGAAGUAAUAUCCACGGUUCUCUCUUCCUUCCCUUUUUCCCUCUUACAGGCUUAGAACAUGGCUUCCAGUUAUUUGAAUUUGCACCUUUAUACCAGUGGAUAGUGCAAGUACUGUUUGCUUCUUGAAUCUCCACAACUUGUGCAACAUGCGGCCAUUCGUUGCAAAAUUCUUUUAAAUUCAGCAGAACCAUUUCCCCGACUGUCACAGAACCAUUACUUUUCAAGGUACUGGUUUUCUUUCUUCCAUUAAUGAUCCUCCCC